CAAGUUGUAUCUUAUUUUAAAGUUUAUUAUUUACAUUAAUGCUAAGAGUAUAAUUUCUCCUUCUUGA
Molecule: transfer RNA, 67 nt
Filed under: Kolla paulula
Lineage: Eukaryota; Metazoa; Arthropoda; Insecta; Hemiptera; Cicadellidae
Description: tRNA-Val
Source: RNAcentral